ACAUGCAAGUCGAGCGAAUGACGAGAAGCUUGCUUCUCUGAUUUAGCGGCGGACGGGUGAGUAACACGUGGGCAACCUGCCCUGUAGACUGGGAUAACUUCGGGAAACCGGAGCUAAUACCGGAUAAUUCUUUUAGCCUCAUGGCUUUAAGCUAAAAGGCGCUUCGGCGUCACUACAGGAUGGGCCCGCGGUGCAUUAGCUAGUUGGUGGGGUAACGGCCUACCAAGGCAACGAUGCAUAGCCGACCUGAGAGGGUGAUCGGCCACAUUGGGACUGAGACACGGCCCAAACUCCUACGGGAGGCAGCAGUAGGGAAUCUUCCACAAUGGACGAAAGUCUGAUGGAGCAACGCCGCGUGAGUGAUGAAGGUUUUCGGAUCGUAAAACUCUGUUGUAAGGGAAGAACAAGUGCGUUAGGUAAUGAACGCACCUUGACGGUACCUUAUUAGAAAGCCACGGCUAACUACGUGCCAGCAGCCGCGGUAAUACGUAGGUGGCAAGCGUUGUCCGGAUUUAUUGGGCGUAAAGCGCGCGCAGGUGGUUUCUUAAGUCUGAUGUGAAAGCCCACGGCUCAACCGUGGAGGGUCAUUGGAAACUGGGAGACUUGAGUGCAGAAGAGGAUAGUGGAAUUCCAAGUGUAGCGGUGAAAUGCGUAGAGAUUUGGAGGAACACCAGUGGCGAAGGCGACUGUCUGGUCUGUAACUGACACUGAGGCGCGAAAGCGUGGGGAGCAAACAGGAUUAGAUACCCUGGUAGUCCACGCCGUAAACGAUGAGUGCUAAGUGUUAGGGGGUUUCCGCCCCUUAGUGCUGCAGCUAACGCAUUAAGCACUCCGCCUGGGGAGUACGACCGCAAGGUUGAAACUCAAAGGAAUUGACGGGGGCCCGCACAAGCGGUGGAGCAUGUGGUUUAAUUCGAAGCAACGCGAAGAACCUUACCAGGUCUUGACAUCCCAAUGACCGUCUUAGAGAUAAGAUUUUCCCUUCGGGGACAUUGGUGACAGGUGGUGCAUGGUUGUCGUCAGCUCGUGUCGUGAGAUGUUGGGUUAAGUCCCGCAACGAGCGCAACCCUUAUUCUUAGUUGCCAUCAUUUAGUUGGGCACUCUAAGGAGACUGCCGGUGACAAACCGGA
Molecule: ribosomal RNA, 1130 nt
Filed under: Kurthia sp. 565B5_12EMRSA
Lineage: Bacteria; Bacillati; Bacillota; Bacilli; Caryophanales; Caryophanaceae
Description: bacterial SSU rRNA
Rfam family: Bacterial small subunit ribosomal RNA
Source: RNAcentral